GACGAACGCUGGCGGCGUGCCUAAUACAUGCAAGUAGAACGCUGAAGCGAGGAGCUUGCUCUUCUUGGAUGAGUUGCGAACGGGUGAGUAACGCGUAGGUAACCUGCCUUGUAGCGGGGGAUAACUAUUGGAAACGAUAGCUAAUACCGCAUAACAAUGGAUGACACAUGUCAUUUAUUUGAAAGGGGCAAUUGCUCCACUACAAGAUGGACCUGCGUUGUAUUAGCUAGUAGGUGAGGUAAUGGCUCACCUAGGCGACGAUACAUAGCCGACCUGAGAGGGUGAUCGGCCCCACUGGGACUGAGACACAGCCCAGACUCCUACGGGAGGCAGCAGUAGGGAAUCUUCGGCAAUGGGGGCAACCCUGACCGAGCAACGCCGCGUGAGUGAAGAAGGUUUUCGGAUCGUAAAGCUCUGUUGUAAGUCAAGAACGGGUGUGAGAGUGGAAAGUUCACACUGUGACGGUAGCUUACCAGAAAGAGACGGCUAACUACGUG
RNAcentral lists this ribosomal RNA (497 nucleotides) under uncultured bacterium. RNAcentral describes it as "partial 16S ribosomal RNA". It matches the Rfam family "Bacterial small subunit ribosomal RNA", at positions 28 to 507 of the family's 1533-position model. The record is from RNAcentral.